This 359-nucleotide transfer-messenger RNA is filed under the name Chloroflexota bacterium. It matches the Rfam family "transfer-messenger RNA". Rfam says of the family: Bacterial tmRNA, also known as 10Sa RNA or SsrA, is named for its dual tRNA and mRNA-like properties. The record is from RNAcentral. Lineage: Bacteria; Bacillati; Chloroflexota.
GGGGAUGCCUGGUUUCGACAGGGAGCUGAGGUCGUUGGCUGCGAGCCGAGCCGCCCAGUCUCGUUAAAGGGGCAACGCCAUUAACUGGCAAAACCAACUUCGCGCCUCGCAUGGCGCUGGCUGCCUAAUCUAGUGUAGCCCGUUCACCCCGUCAAGCGCCCGACGGGGCGGGGUGAGCGUCAUUUAGUCGGGCUGCUGCGACCGUAUCGCCUGCUAAGGUCGCUUAAGAUAAGCGGGCUGGCCUCCUUCCGCGCCUCGUCUGUUGAGCGCUGGAGGCGACAUCUAAUCAGCAGUCUACGCUCGUAGAUGCUUGCGAUCAACCUUUCUGGACGGGGGUUCGAUUCCCCCCAUCUCCACCA